UCCGUUAUCGUCCAGCGGUUAGAUAUCUGGCUUUCACCCAGGAGACCCAAGUUCGAUUCCCGGUAACGGAA
This 71-nucleotide transfer RNA is filed under the name Datura stramonium (jimsonweed). Its description in RNAcentral is "tRNA-Glu". It matches the Rfam family "tRNA". Rfam says of the family: Transfer RNA (tRNA) molecules are approximately 80 nucleotides in length. Their secondary structure includes four short double-helical elements and three loops (D, anti-codon, and T loops). Lineage: Eukaryota; Viridiplantae; Streptophyta; Magnoliopsida; Solanales; Solanaceae. The record is from RNAcentral.